CCCUUAGUAACGGCGAGCGAAAAGGGAAGAGUCCAGCGCCAAGUCUUGACGCCAAAGCGUUCAAGAGAUGCGGCGUUAAUGUAUUAUCGCAUCGUACAUUGUUACCUGUUUCAAGUUCCCUUGACAGGGACAUCCAUAGCGGGUGCUAGGCCCAUAGAGGCAGGAAACCAGUGUGCGCAGAUAAUGCAUUCUAGAGUCAGGUUGCUUGAGAGUGCAGCUUAAAGUGGGUGGUAAACUCCAUCUAAGGCUAAAUAUGACAGCGAGACCGAUAGCAAACAAGUACCGUGAGGGAAAGUUGCAAAGCACUUUGAAGAGAGAGUUCAACAGUACGUGAAACCACUGGGAGGCAAACAGAUGGAACCACGAAGUUGCGCCUCGCUCGAUUCAAUCAUUGAUACUGGUUACCGGUUCUUGUGUGGAUCUUUUCGGAGAUUAGCAAGUGUCGUGGAACUUGUGUCAAUGGUGCAUUUCGUGUGAGGAUGCUAAGCCACGUUCGAUUAGAGUUGGGACGGCCGUAAGACAGAAUUCGAGGAAGGUGACCGGAAAGUGCUUGCAUUUUUCGGUGUUAUAGCCUUGAAUUGGUACCGUCGCCUAACAAACUGAUCGAUAGAAAUUCUCCUUAGGAGUUAAACUGUGUCUGCCUGUGACCAUUAGUCAACAGUUCGAAGUGUUCUUUACGUAUCUUUGGUGCGGAAAGGCAUUUCAACAAUGUUGGUUAGUGGUUGCUUGCGUGACAUGGUGGAACUGUGGCGCGAGUAGGUCGGUUUCCCUCUGACCC
RNAcentral lists this ribosomal RNA (778 nucleotides) under Analges aff. passerinus A MD-2020. RNAcentral describes it as "partial large subunit ribosomal RNA". It matches the Rfam family "Eukaryotic large subunit ribosomal RNA", at positions 77 to 650 of the family's 3401-position model. The record is from RNAcentral. Lineage: Eukaryota; Metazoa; Arthropoda; Arachnida; Sarcoptiformes; Analgidae.